AUUGAACGCUGGCGGCAGGCCUAACACACGCAAGUCGAGCGGUAACACAGAGAGCUUGCUCUCGGGUGACGAGCGGCGGACGGGUGAGUAAUGUCUGGGAAACUGCCUGAUGGAGGGGAAUAACUACUGGAAACGGUAGCUAAUACCGCAUAAUGUCGCAAGACCAAAGAGGGGGACCUUAGGGCCUCUUGCCAUCGGAUGUGCCCAGAUGGGAUUAGCUAGUAGG
Molecule: ribosomal RNA, 226 nt
Filed under: uncultured bacterium
Lineage: Bacteria
Description: partial 16S ribosomal RNA
Rfam family: Bacterial small subunit ribosomal RNA
Source: RNAcentral